UACGGAGGAUCCAAGCGUUAUCCGGAUUUAUUGGGUUUAGAGGGUGCGUAGGCGGAUUGAUAAGUUAGAGGUGAAAUGUCCGAGCUUAACUCGGGAACUGCCUCUAAUACUGUUGAUCUAGAGAGUAGAUGCGGUAGGCGGAAUGUAUGGUGUAGCGGUGAAAUGCUUAGAGAUCAUACAGAACACCGAUUGCGAAGGCAGCUUACCAAUCUAUAUCUGACGUUGAGGCACGAAAGCGUGGGGAGCAAACAGG
RNAcentral lists this ribosomal RNA (253 nucleotides) under uncultured bacterium. RNAcentral describes it as "partial 16S ribosomal RNA". It matches the Rfam family "Bacterial small subunit ribosomal RNA", at positions 524 to 776 of the family's 1533-position model. The record is from RNAcentral.